Molecule: ribosomal RNA, 253 nt
Filed under: uncultured bacterium
Lineage: Bacteria
Description: partial 16S ribosomal RNA
Rfam family: Bacterial small subunit ribosomal RNA
Source: RNAcentral
UACGUAGGGGGCUAGCGUUGUCCGGAAUCAUUGGGCGUAAAGCGCGCGUAGGCGGCCCGGUAAGUCCGUUGUAAAAGUCAAAGGCUCAACCUUUGAAAGCCGAUGGAUACUGCCGGGCUAGAGUCCGGAAGAGGCGAGUGGAAUUCCUGGUGUAGCGGUGGAAUGCGUAGAGAUCCGGAAGAACACCGGAGGCGAAGGCGGGUUGCUGGGCUGAUACUGACGCUGAGGCGCGAAAGCUAGGGGAGCGAACGGG